GUUUUCUGAAGUCCUAGAAGUAAAUAAUUAGAAUAUGUGAUGCUCUGCGAUGAAAGUGUACUUGAUGACAGCGAUACAUACUUAGUGAUUAUAAUUUAUGGUAUGACAUCCUUGUUAGAGCAAGGGUCAUUUCUGUCUCCCUACUAAUAGACAUAUCUUAUUGAACUUGAGUCUACUGCCAGGCUUAAUAAAUGUUGCUCUUCGGAAGCUGUUA
Molecule: non-coding RNA, 214 nt
Organism: Pelobates cultripes (western spadefoot toad)
Lineage: Eukaryota; Metazoa; Chordata; Amphibia; Anura; Pelobatidae
Source: the annotation of a GenBank genome assembly